Molecule: long non-coding RNA, 1242 nt
Filed under: Apteryx haastii (Great spotted kiwi)
Lineage: Eukaryota; Metazoa; Chordata; Aves; Apterygiformes; Apterygidae
Description: lncRNA (ENSAHAG00000012208.1)
Source: RNAcentral
AUGAGAUUAGAAAACAGCUGGAGAAUUGAUGAAGUGGGGAGGAGAGGAGGAUUGCUCCAGAUGGCCAUGUUGCCGCAGACGCUGCUUUCCACCCCAGAAACGCUGUGUUGGGACCUGCAUGGAGGUCACACACACACAUUUCUGAAAAUUGUGUGCAAAGACAUGGGGAACUUCCAGAUGGGAGUUGUGAGCUCUUAUGGUCACUACAAACCAGCACAGAUCCCUCUAGACUUUCUGAUAAAACAUCCACUCUCCAGUGGUUUCUCUGGAAGGCAAGUCCCAGCAAAGGCAUUUCAGGUCAGAACAAAACCCCUGGUAACUGCCUGCGAACAAAACACUGCCGCGUGCAGCAAAGCGUUGCAGCACGGCUCACCCGGGGGUUGCCCUGCUGGGUGCAAAGCGGACAGGAAAGAGAGGGUGCAGGGUCAAGGAGUUGCAAAGCCGCAGAUGGCGCAGGCGAGCCGGGCAGCAGCAUGGGGUUCGCCGCUGGGCACGCUUUCCCAUGCCUGGACAAGCCACUCCAUCUUUGAAUGUCUCUGUAUUUCAGAGGUGACAGCUGACAUGGGUACAGACAGCCAGAGAUGUCAGGUGGACCUGGGACAUGGCCCUGAGCUGGAAAGGGUGGGAUUUGUCUUGUGCCCAAAUACAGACCUGCCUCGUCAUCUAGAGGCAAGAGCAGCAGUGCAGGGACCUGGGAGGGGGCUGCAGAAGGACAACAAUCUGGUUGAUGGCCAGAAAGCCAAAAAUUUACAAAACAAAAUAAAACAAAGGACAAGCAGGAUAGGGAAGAGAAGCAGAAAGGAAGGAGGUGACCAGGAUUUGUGGAGAGUGGGUGACAACACGGCCGACAGACCCGAGAGCAAGAGGAACAUCCCCUGGCGAGCGCUUAUGGGGCCAAAAUGCCCGGGAUGGCCGCGGUCACCGUGCAGCACGUUUGGGAGCCUCCGCGCGCUCUGUCCCACUGCACAUCCACACCCACCUCCUACACCCACUUCAAAGUUAAAAUCUGUGCUGUAUCCUGGCAUUUUGCAGAUUACGACAUUUCAGCAGCCUGCUGCAGCUCAGCUGUAUGUCUGCUCCUGGGUGAGGAAUUUCUCUUUAUACCAACUGUCUAUUCAAGUCAUAAAAAUAGGCUUUUUUUCCUUCUGUAAGUGCAACACUUUUCAUAUUUUUACUUCCUGCUGUCUAGAUAGUAUUUCACUUUUUUCAUUUCUAGUGCUCACUCUCAGUUAUUUAAUGUGA